CGCGGGGUGGAGCAGUUUGGUAGCUCGUCGGGCUCAUAACCCGAAGGUCGGGGGUUCAAAUCCCUCCCCCGCUACCA
Molecule: transfer RNA, 77 nt
Filed under: Desulfobulbus propionicus
Lineage: Bacteria; Pseudomonadati; Thermodesulfobacteriota; Desulfobulbia; Desulfobulbales; Desulfobulbaceae
Also listed under: 5 other names
Description: tRNA-Met
Rfam family: tRNA
About the family: Transfer RNA (tRNA) molecules are approximately 80 nucleotides in length.
Source: RNAcentral